This 440-nucleotide ribosomal RNA is filed under the name uncultured bacterium. Its description in RNAcentral is "partial 16S ribosomal RNA". It matches the Rfam family "Bacterial small subunit ribosomal RNA", at positions 338 to 795 of the family's 1533-position model. The record is from RNAcentral.
CCUACGGGAGGCAGCAGUGGGGGAUAUUGCACAAUGGGGGAAACCCUGAUGCAGCGACGCCGCGUGUGGGAAGACGGUCCUCUGGAUUGUAAACCACUGUCCCCAGGGACGAAGAUGACGGUACCUGGGGAGGAAGCUCCGGCUAACUACGUGCCAGCAGCCGCGGUAAUACGUAGGGAGCGAGCGUUGUCCGGAAUUACUGGGUGAAAAGGGAGCGUAGGCGGGACUGCAAGUUGGGUGUCAAAUCUACCGGCUCAACCGGUAGCCGCACUCAAAACUGCAGUUCUUGAGUGAAGUAGAGGCAGGCGGAAUUCCUAGUGUAGCGGUGAAAUGCGUAGAUAUUAGGAGGAACACCAGUGGCGAAGGCGGCCUGCUGGGCUUUGACUGACGCUGAGGCUCGAAAGUGUGGGGAGCAAACAGGAUUAGAUACCCGGGUAGUC